GGACUCAUUAAGACGCGAUGAAUACGUCCCUAUUCUUUGUACACACCGCCCGUCGUUAUCGAAGAUGAAGACAGGCGCGAACGAUCUACCAGAAAGUGAGCGCAGGUCUUUAGAUCUGAUACAAGUCGUAACAAGGUAGCUGUAGGUGAACCUGUAGCUGG
Molecule: ribosomal RNA, 161 nt
Filed under: Loma morhua
Lineage: Eukaryota; Fungi; Microsporidia; Glugeidae
Description: partial small subunit ribosomal RNA
Rfam family: Microsporidia small subunit ribosomal RNA
Source: RNAcentral